RNAcentral lists this ribosomal RNA (497 nucleotides) under uncultured bacterium. RNAcentral's name for it is "partial 16S ribosomal RNA". It matches the Rfam family "Bacterial small subunit ribosomal RNA", at positions 28 to 507 of the family's 1533-position model. The record is from RNAcentral.
GAUGAACGCUGGCGGCGUGCCUAAUACAUGCAAGUCGAGCGAACAGACGAGGAGCUUGCUCCUCUGACGUUAGCGGCGGACGGGUGAGUAACACGUGGAUAACCUACCUAUAAGACUGGGAUAACUUCGGGAAACCGGAGCUAAUACCGGAUAAUAUAUUGAACCGCAUGGUUCAAUAGUGAAAGACGGUUUUGCUGUCACUUAUAGAUGGAUCCGCGCCGCAUUAGCUAGUUGGUAAGGUAACGGCCUACCAAGGCAACGAUGCGUAGCCGACCUGAGAGGGUGAUCGGCCACACUGGAACUGAGACACGGUCCAGACUCCUACGGGAGGCAGCAGUAGGGAAUCUUCCGCAAUGGGCGAAAGCCUGACGGAGCAACGCCGCGUGAGUGAUGAAGGUCUUCGGAUCGUAAAACUCUGUUAUUAGGGAAGAACAAAUGUGUAAGUAGCUAUGCACGUCUUGACGGUACCUAAUCAGAAAGCCACGGCUAACUACGUG